UCCCUGGUGGCUCAGUGGUAGAGAAUCUGCCUGCCAAUGCAGAAGACAUGGGUUCAAUCCCUGAUCCGGGAA
Molecule: transfer RNA, 72 nt
Filed under: Bos taurus (domestic cattle)
Lineage: Eukaryota; Metazoa; Chordata; Mammalia; Artiodactyla; Bovidae
Also listed under: 1 other name
Rfam family: tRNA
About the family: Transfer RNA (tRNA) molecules are approximately 80 nucleotides in length.
Source: Rfam by way of RNAcentral